Molecule: ribosomal RNA, 491 nt
Filed under: uncultured bacterium
Lineage: Bacteria
Description: partial 16S ribosomal RNA
Rfam family: Bacterial small subunit ribosomal RNA
Source: RNAcentral
AGUGAACGCUGGCGGUAGGCCUAACACAUGCAAGUCGAACGGCAGCACAUUAAGCGCUUGCUCUUACGGGUGGCGAGUGGCGGACGGGUGAGGAAUACAUCGGAAUCUACUUUUUCGUGGGGUAUAACUUAGGUAAACUUACGCUAAUUCCGCAUACGACCUACGGGUGAAAGCAGUGGAUCUUCGUACCUUGCGCGAUUGAAUGAGCCGAUGUCGGAUUAGCUAGUUGGCGGGUAAAGGCCCACCAAGGCGACGAUCCGUAGCUUGUCUGAGAGGAUGAUCAGCCACACUGGAACUGAGACACGGUCCAGACUCCUACGGGAGGCAGCAGUGGGGAAUAUUGGAAAAUGGGCGCAAGCCUGAUCCAGCCAUACCGCGUGGGUGAAGAAGGCCUUCGGGUUGUAAAGCCCUUUUGUUGGGAAAGAAAAGCAGCAGGUUAAUAACCCGCUGUUAUGACGGUACCCAAAGAAUAAGCACCGGCUAACUUCGUG